RNAcentral lists this ribosomal RNA (497 nucleotides) under uncultured bacterium. RNAcentral describes it as "partial 16S ribosomal RNA". It matches the Rfam family "Bacterial small subunit ribosomal RNA", at positions 28 to 507 of the family's 1533-position model. The record is from RNAcentral.
GAUGAACGCUGGCGGCGUGCCUAAUACAUGCGAGUCGAGCGAACAGACGAGGAGCUUGCUCCUCUGACGUUAGCGGCGGACGGGUGAGUAACACGUGGAUAACCUACCUAUAAGACUGGGAUAACUUCGGGAAACCGGAGCUAAUACCGGAUAAUAUAUUGAACCGCAUGGUUCAAUAGUGAAAGACGGUUUUGCUGUCACUUAUAGAUGGAUCCGCGCCGCAUUAGCUAGUUGGUAAGGUAACGGCUUACCAAGGCGACGAUGCGUAGCCGACCUGAGAGGGUGAUCCGCCACACUGGAACUGAGACCCGGUCCCGACUCCUACGGGAGGCCGCCGUAGGGAAUCUUCCGCAAUGGGCGAAAGCCUGACGGAGCAACGCCGCGUGGGUGAUGAAGGUCUUCGGAUCGUAAAACUCUGUUAUUAGGGAAGAACAAAUGUGUAAGUAACUAUGCACGUCUUGACGGUACCUAAUCAGAAAGCCACGGCUAACUACGUG